GAUGAACGCUGGCGGCGUGCCUAAUACAUGCAAGUCGAGCGAACAGACGAGGAGCUUGCUCCUCUGACGUUAGCGGCGGACGGGGGAGUAACACGUGGAUAACCUACCUAUAAGACUGGGAUAACUUCGGGAAACCGGAGCUAAUACCGGAUAACAUGUUGAACCGCAUGGUUCAACAGUGAAAGACGGUCUUGCUGUCACUUAUAGAUGGAUCCGCGCCGCAUUAGCUAGUUGGUAAGGUAACGGCUUACCAAGGCAACGAUGCGUAGCCGACCUGAGAGGGUGAUCGGCCACACUGGAACUGAGACACGGUCCAGACUCCUACGGGAGGCAGCAGUAGGGAAUCUUCCGCAAUGGGCGAAAGCCUGACGGAGCAACGCCGCGUGAGUGAAGAAGGUCUUCGGAUCGUAAAACUCUGUUAUUAGGGAAGAACAAAUGUGUAAGUAACUAUGCACGUCUUGACGGUACCUAAUCAGAAAGCCACGGCUAACUACGUG
This 497-nucleotide ribosomal RNA is filed under the name uncultured bacterium. Its description in RNAcentral is "partial 16S ribosomal RNA". It matches the Rfam family "Bacterial small subunit ribosomal RNA", at positions 28 to 507 of the family's 1533-position model. The record is from RNAcentral.